AGUGAACGCUGGCGGCGUGCCUAAUACAUGCAAGUCGAACGGAGUGGCGCACGGGGGAGUAAUAUAUAGCUAAUCUGCCCCUUGCUGGAGGACAACAGUUAGAAAUGACUGCUAAUACUCCAUAGCAAGGGAUGAGACUAUAUCGUAUCAGCUAGUCGGUGGGGUAACGGCCUACCGAGGCUAUGACGCGUAACUGGUCUGAGAGGAGGAUCAGUAACAUUGGAACUGAGACACGGUCCAAACUCCUACGGGUGGCAGCAGUAGGGAAUAUUGCGCAAUGGGGGAAACCCUGACGCAGCAACGCCGCGUGGAGGAUGACACUUUUCGGAGCGUAAACGCCUUUUGUUAGGGAAGCGGUACCUGAAUAGAAAGCCACGGCUAACUACGGGCCAGCAGCCGCGGUAAUUC
RNAcentral lists this ribosomal RNA (408 nucleotides) under uncultured bacterium. RNAcentral describes it as "partial 16S ribosomal RNA". It matches the Rfam family "Bacterial small subunit ribosomal RNA", at positions 29 to 526 of the family's 1533-position model. The record is from RNAcentral.